GUAGCCAUGAGGGGCUUCGGUCCGGGCGUUUCCAUGCGUCCGGUGAAAAGGGAACGUGGUGCGAAUCCACGACUGCCCCCGCAACUGUAAGCGGCGAGCGUGACCGGCACAUGCCACUGGGGAGAGCCCCGGGAAGGCCCGGUUCACGCGACGACCCGCGAAGUCAGGAGACCUGCCGAAGUGAUCACCCUGUC
Molecule: non-coding RNA, 194 nt
Filed under: Paracoccaceae bacterium
Lineage: Bacteria; Pseudomonadati; Pseudomonadota; Alphaproteobacteria; Rhodobacterales; Paracoccaceae
Source: RNAcentral